RNAcentral lists this ribosomal RNA (1669 nucleotides) under Salmonella enterica. Its description in RNAcentral is "partial 23S ribosomal RNA". It matches the Rfam family "Bacterial large subunit ribosomal RNA", at positions 1 to 1703 of the family's 2925-position model. The record is from RNAcentral. Lineage: Bacteria; Pseudomonadati; Pseudomonadota; Gammaproteobacteria; Enterobacterales; Enterobacteriaceae.
GGGUUGUGAGGUUAAGCGACUAAGCGUACACGGUGGAUGCCCUGGCAGUCAGAGGCGAUGAAGGGCGUGCUAAUCUGCGAUAAGCGCCGGUAAGGUGAUAUGAACCGUUAUAACCGGCGAUACCCGAAUGGGGAAACCCAGUGUGAUUCGUCACACUAUCAUUAACUGAAUCCAUAGGUUAAUGAGGCGAACCGGGGGAACUGAAACAUCUAAGUACCCCGAGGAAAAGAAAUCAACCGAGAUUCCCCCAGUAGCGGCGAGCGAACGGGGAGGAGCCCAGAGCCUGAAUCAGCAUGUGUGUUAGUGGAAGCGUCUGGAAAGGCGCGCGAUACAGGGUGACAGCCCCGUACACAAAAGCGCAUGUGCUGUGAGCUCGAUGAGUAGGGCGGGACACGUGGUAUCCUGUCUGAAUAUGGGGGGACCAUCCUCCAAGGCUAAAUACUCCUGACUGACCGAUAGUGAACCAGUACCGUGAGGGAAAGGCGAAAAGAACCCCGGCGAGGGGAGUGAAAAAGAACCUGAAACCGUGUACGUACAAGCAGUGGGAGCACCCUUUGGGUGUGACUGCGUACCUUUUGUAUAAUGGGUCAGCGACUUAUAUUCUGUAGCAAGGUUAACCGAAUAGGGGAGCCGGAGGGAAACCGAGUCUUAACCGGGCGUUAAGUUGCAGGGUAUAGACCCGAAACCCGGUGAUCUAGCCAUGGGCAGGUUGAAGGUUGGGUAACACUAACUGGAGGACCGAACCGACUAAUGUUGAAAAAUUAGCGGAUGACCUGUGGCUGGGGGUGAAAGGCCAAUCAAACCGGGAGAUAGCUGGUUCUCCCCGAAAGCUAUUUAGGUAGCGCCUCGUGAAUUCAUCUCCGGGGGUAGAGCACUGUUUCGGCUAGGGGGCCAUCCCGGCUUACCAACCCGAUGCAAACUGCGAAUACCGGAGAAUGUUAUCACGGGAGACACACGGCGGGUGCUAACGUCCGUCGUGAAGAGGGAAACAACCCAGACCGCCAGCUAAGGUCCCAAAGUCAUGGUUAAGUGGGAAACGAUGUGGGAAGGCCCAGACAGCCAGGAUGUUGGCUUAGAAGCAGCCAUCAUUUAAAGAAAGCGUAAUAGCUCACUGGUCGAGUCGGCCUGCGCGGAAGAUGUAACGGGGCUAAACCAUGCACCGAAGCUGCGGCAGCGACACUGUGUGUUGUUGGGUAGGGGAGCGUUCUGUAAGCCUGUGAAGGUGUGUCGUGAGGCAUGCUGGAGGUAUCAGAAGUGCGAAUGCUGACAUAAGUAACGAUAAAGCGGGUGAAAAGCCCGCUCGCCGGAAGACCAAGGGUUCCUGUCCAACGUUAAUCGGGGCAGGGUGAGUCGACCCCUAAGGCGAGGCCGAAAGGCGUAGUCGAUGGGAAACGGGUUAAUAUUCCCGUACUUGGUGUUACUGCGAAGGGGGGACGGAGAAGGCUAUGUUGGCCGGGCGACGGUUGUCCCGGUUUAAGCGUGUAGGUGUGUGUUCCAGGUAAAUCCGGUUCACUUUAACACUGAGGCGUGACGACGAGGCACUACGGUGCUGAAGCAACAAAUGCCCUGCUUCCAGGAAAAGCCUCUAAGCAUCAGGUAACAUCAAAUCGUACCCCAAACCGACACAGGUGGUCAGGUAGAGAAUACCAAGGCGCUUGAGAGAACUCGG